AGAGUUUGAUCCUGGCUCAGGAUGAACGCUAGCGACAGGCUUAACACAUGCAAGUCGAGGGGCAGCACAGGUAGCAAUACCGGGUGGCGACCGGCGCACGGGUGAGUAACGCGUAUGCAACUUACCUAUCAGAGGGGGAUAACCCGGCGAAAGUCGGACUAAUACCGCAUGAAGCAGGGGCCCCGCAUGGGGAUAUUUGCUAAAGAUUCAUCGCUGAUAGAUAGGCAUGCGUUCCAUUAGGCAGUUGGCGGGGUAACGGCCCACCAAACCGACGAUGGAUAGGGGUUCUGAGAGGAAGGUCCCCCACAUUGGUACUGAGACACGGACCAAACUCCUACGGGAGGCAGCAGUGAGGAAUAUUGGUCAAUGGGCGUAAGCCUGAACCAGCCAAGUCGCGUGAGGGAUGAAGGUUCUAUGGAUCGUAAACCUCUUUUAUAAGGGAAUAAAGUGUGGGACGUGUCCUGUUUUGUAUGUACCUUAUGAAUAAGGAUCGGCUAACUCCGUGCCAGCAGCCGCGGU
RNAcentral lists this ribosomal RNA (519 nucleotides) under uncultured Bacteroides sp. RNAcentral's name for it is "bacterial SSU rRNA". It matches the Rfam family "Bacterial small subunit ribosomal RNA", at positions 8 to 521 of the family's 1533-position model. Lineage: Bacteria; Pseudomonadati; Bacteroidota; Bacteroidia; Bacteroidales; Bacteroidaceae. The record is from RNAcentral.